UCGUGGGACGCUGCAGCACUAGACUGACCGUCCUCCCAACCCUUCUCCAGAGCUACCCUCGGGCCUGUCGCCCGGAGCCAUCGCUGGGAUUGUCAUCGGGUCCCUGGCGGGGGCGGCGCUGGUCGGGGGCCUGCUCUACUUCCUGCUCUGCAGAAAUGGAAGGCCAGGAUGUCGGGGACAAGAAACCCACAAUGG
This is a non-coding RNA of Pelodiscus sinensis (Chinese soft-shelled turtle), 195 nucleotides long. The record is from RefSeq and is a predicted model, not a curated record. NCBI's taxonomy places the organism in Eukaryota, Metazoa, Chordata, Testudines, Trionychidae.